This 253-nucleotide ribosomal RNA is filed under the name uncultured bacterium. RNAcentral describes it as "partial 16S ribosomal RNA". It matches the Rfam family "Bacterial small subunit ribosomal RNA", at positions 524 to 776 of the family's 1533-position model. The record is from RNAcentral.
UACGUAGGGUGCAAGCGUUAAUCGGAAUUACUGGGCGUAAAGGGUUCGUAGGUGGCCUGCUAAGUCAGACGUGAAAUCCCUCAGCUUAACUGGGGAACUGCGUCUGAAACUGGCGGGCUUGAGUGCAGGAGAGGAACGCGGAAUUCCAGGUGUAGCGGUGAAAUGCGUAGAUAUCUGGAGGAACACCGGUGGCGAAGGCGGCGUUCUGGACUGCUACUGACACUGAGGAACGAAAGCCAGGGGAGCAAACGGG